GGAAAAAGAACCCCGGAGACCUGGGUCCUGGUUGGGCUGGUGGAUGAGGAAACUAGGGCACAGGGAAAGGUGAAUGUCUUGUGGAGAUCCCAUGGCAGAAGGGGCAGAGGUGUGAUUCAAACCAACAGACUGAUUCUAGGGCCCCAUCUUUACCUCCACACUCUUACUUUCCCAGACGAAUUAUCUGAGAAAUAUGUCAUCUCCAGCUUGGAUUAAGAAAUG
This is a long non-coding RNA of Neogale vison (American mink), 222 nucleotides long. RefSeq lists it as uncharacterized. The record is from RefSeq and is a predicted model, not a curated record. The transcript is spliced from 3 exons. NCBI's taxonomy places the organism in Eukaryota, Metazoa, Chordata, Mammalia, Carnivora, Mustelidae.